This 216-nucleotide long non-coding RNA is filed under the name Elaeis guineensis (African oil palm). Its description in RNAcentral is "long non-coding RNA (EGUI_LNC072849)". Lineage: Eukaryota; Viridiplantae; Streptophyta; Magnoliopsida; Arecales; Arecaceae. The record is from RNAcentral.
ACUGUAUUAAUCGGGCAGCGGUUCAUAUUUAUUCUGACAAUUAGAAAUAAAUAAAUAAUAAAAUAAUUAAAUUAUUUUUUAAAAUAUUAUAAUAAAAUAUUCAAACUGAUAGAAAAUGUUAGUACAGAGAUAAAAAAUUUUUGAUCCAAAGCCAACAUAACAUAUUAUCACUUUGACUCAUCAAAAAAUAUAUAUAUUAAAAAAAAAAUCCCAUCU